RNAcentral lists this ribosomal RNA (460 nucleotides) under uncultured bacterium. RNAcentral's name for it is "partial 16S ribosomal RNA". It matches the Rfam family "Bacterial small subunit ribosomal RNA", at positions 338 to 795 of the family's 1533-position model. The record is from RNAcentral.
CCUACGGGUGGCUGCAGUGAGGAAUAUUGGUCAAUGGACGAGAGUCUGAACCAGCCAAGUAGCGUGAAGGAUGACUGCCCUAUGGGUCGUAAACCUCUUUUGCCGGGGAGCAGAGGUCCGGACGUGUCCGGGCCGGGAGAGUACCCGGAGAAAAAGCAUCGGCUAACUCCGUGCCUGCAGCCGCGGUAAUACGGAGGAUGCGAGCGUUAUCCGGAUUGAUUGGGUUUAAGGGGUGCGUAGGCGGUCAUUUAAGCCGGCGGUCAAAUGUCGGGGCUCAACCCCGACCUGCCGUCGGAACUGGGUGCCUUGAGUGGGCGAGAAGUAUGCGGAAUGCGUGGUGUAGCGGUGAAAUGCAUAGAUAUCACGCAGAACCCCGAUUGCGAAGGCAGCAUGCCGGCGUCCUACUGACGCUGAGGCACGAAAGUGUGGGUAUCGAACAGGAUUAGAUACCCUUGUAGUC